UACGGAGGGUGCAAGCGUUAAUCGGAAUUACUGGGCGUAAAGCGUGCGCAGGCGGUUUUGUAAGCCAGAUGUGAAAGCCCCGGGCUCAACCUGGGAAUGGCAUUUGGGACUGCAAGGCUUGAGUGCGGCAGAGGAGACUGGAAUUCCUGGUGUAGCAGUGAAAUGCGUAGAUAUCGGGAGGAACACCAGUGGCGAAGGCGACUACCUGGCCUGUUCUUGACGCUGAGGCGCGAAAGCUAGGGGAGCAAACGGG
This 253-nucleotide ribosomal RNA is filed under the name uncultured bacterium. RNAcentral describes it as "partial 16S ribosomal RNA". It matches the Rfam family "Bacterial small subunit ribosomal RNA", at positions 524 to 776 of the family's 1533-position model. The record is from RNAcentral.